UACGGAGGGUGCGAGCGUUGUCCGGAAUCACUGGGCGUAAAGGGCGCGUAGGCGGCUUUUUAAGGGUGCGGUGAAAGCCCGGGGCUUAACCCCGGGUCGGCCGUGCCGACUGAAAAGCUGGAGCACUGUAGAGGCAGGUGGAAUUCCGGGUGUAGCGGUGGAAUGCGUAGAGAUCCGGAAGAACACCAGUGGCGAAGGCGGCAUCCUGGACCGGUAUUGACGCUGAGGAGCGAAAGCCAGGGGAGCAAACGGG
Molecule: ribosomal RNA, 253 nt
Filed under: uncultured bacterium
Lineage: Bacteria
Description: partial 16S ribosomal RNA
Rfam family: Bacterial small subunit ribosomal RNA
Source: RNAcentral